GCUUCCUGUGUGUUGAGUGAAUGAGUGAU
This 29-nucleotide non-coding RNA is filed under the name Homo sapiens (human). Lineage: Eukaryota; Metazoa; Chordata; Mammalia; Primates; Hominidae. The record is from RNAcentral.